ACUAAGCAUAUCAAUAAGCGGAGGAAAAGAAACCAACAGGGAUUGCCCUAGUAACGGCGAGUGAAGCGGCAUCAGCUCAAAUUUGAAAUCUGGCUCUUUCAGAGUCCGAGUUGUAAUUUGCAGAGGGCGCUUUGGUGUCGGCAGCGGUCCAAGUUCCUUGGAACAGGACGUCACAGAGGGUGAGAAUCCCGUACGUGGUCGCUGACCUACACCGUGUAAAGCCCCUUCGACGAGUCGAGUUGUUUGGGAAUGCAGCUCUAAAUGGGAGGUAAAUUUCUUCUAAAGCUAAAUACUGGCCAGAGACCGAUAGCGCACAAGUAGAGUGAUCGAAAGAUGAAAAGCACUUUGGAAAGAGAGUCAAACAGCACGUGAAAUUGUUGAAAGGGAAGCGCUUGCAGCCAGACUUGCUUGUAGUUGCUCAUCCGGGCUUUUGCCCGGUGCACUCUUCUGCGAGCAGGCCAGCAUCAGUUUGGACGGUUGGAUAAAGGCCUCUGUCACGUACCUUCUCUCGGGAAGGCCUUAUAGGGGAGGCGUCAUGCAACCAGUCUGGACUGAGGUCCGCGCAUCUGCUAGGAUGCUGGCGUAAUGGCUGUAAGCGGCCCGUCUUGAAACACGGACCAAGGAGUCUAACAUCUAUGCAUGUUUGGG
Molecule: ribosomal RNA, 648 nt
Filed under: Didymosphaeria futilis
Lineage: Eukaryota; Fungi; Ascomycota; Dothideomycetes; Pleosporales; Didymosphaeriaceae
Description: LSU rRNA
Rfam family: Eukaryotic large subunit ribosomal RNA
Source: RNAcentral